CUGCAUUUGAUACUGGCAAACUAGAGUAUGGUAGAGGAAUGGGGAAUUUCUGGUGUAGCGGUGAAAUGCGUAGAGAUCAGAAGGAACACCAAUGGCGAAGGCAACAUUCUGGACCAAUACUGACACUGAGGGACGAAAGCGUGGGGAUCAAACAGGAUUAGAUACCCUGGUAGUCCACGCUGUAAACGAUGAGUACUAGCUGUUGGAUUCGGUGUAAAGGAUCUAGUGGCGUAGCUAACGCGUUAAGUACUCCGCCUGGGGACUACGGCCGCAAGGCUAAAACUCAAAGGAAUUGACGGGGACCCGCACAAGCGGUGGAGCAUGUGGUUUAAUUCGAUGCAACGCGAAGAACCUUACCUGGUCUUGACAUCCUGCGAACUUUCUAGAGAUAGAUUGGUGCCUUCGGGAACGCAGUGACAGGUGCUGCACGGCUGUCGUCAGCUCGUGUUGUGAAAUGUUGGGUUAAGUCCCGCAACGAGCGCAACCCCUAUUGAUAGUUACCAUCAUUAAGUUGGGUACUCUAUUGAGACUGCCGCUGACAAGGCGGAGGAAGGUGGGGACGACGUCAAGUCAUCAUGGCCCUUACGACCAGGGCUACACACGUGCUACAAUGGGUAUUACAGGGGGCAGCGAAGUAGCGAUAUGGAGCGAAACUCAGAAAGGUACUCUUAGUCUGGAUUGCAGUCUGCAACUCGACUGCAUGAAGUCGGAAUCGCUAGUAAUCGCAGGUCAGAAUACUGCGGUGAAUACGUUCCCGGGUCUUGUACAC
This 769-nucleotide ribosomal RNA is filed under the name uncultured bacterium. RNAcentral's name for it is "bacterial SSU rRNA". It matches the Rfam family "Bacterial small subunit ribosomal RNA", at positions 621 to 1388 of the family's 1533-position model. The record is from RNAcentral.